This 497-nucleotide ribosomal RNA is filed under the name uncultured bacterium. RNAcentral describes it as "partial 16S ribosomal RNA". It matches the Rfam family "Bacterial small subunit ribosomal RNA", at positions 28 to 507 of the family's 1533-position model. The record is from RNAcentral.
GAUGAACGCUGGCGGCGUGCCUAAUACAUGCAAGUCGAGCGAACAGACGAGGAGCUUGCUCCUCUGACGUUAGCGGCGGACGGGUGAGUAACACGUGGAUAACCUACCUAUAAGACUGGGAUAACUUCGGGAAACCGGAGCUAAUACCGGAUAAUAUAUUGAACCGCAUGGUUCAAUAGUGAAAGACGGUUUUGCUGUCACUUAUAGAUGGAUCCGCGCCGCAUUAGCUAGUUGGUAAGGUAACGGCUUACCAAGGCGACGAUGCGUAGCCGACCUGAGAGGGUGAUCGGCCACACUGGAACUGAGACACGGUCCAGACUCCUACGGGAGGCAGCAGUAGGGAAUCUUCCGCAAUGGGCGAAAGCCUGACGGAACAACGCCGCGUGAGUGAUGAAGGUCUUCGGAUCGUAAAACUCUGUUAUUAGGGAAGAACAAAUGUGUAAGUAACUAUGCACGUCUUGACGGUACCUAAUCAGAAAGCCACGGCUAACAACGUG